Molecule: non-coding RNA, 576 nt
Filed under: Eubacterium ruminantium
Lineage: Bacteria; Bacillati; Bacillota; Clostridia; Eubacteriales; Eubacteriaceae
Description: Bacterial large subunit ribosomal RNA
Rfam family: Bacterial large subunit ribosomal RNA
Source: Rfam by way of RNAcentral
ACUCGGCAAAAUGACCCCGUAACUUCGGGAGAAGGGGUGCCAUCCUCCGGGAUGGCCGCAGAGAAAUGGCCCAAGCAACUGUUUAGCAAAAACAUAGGUCUAUGCAAAACCGAAAGGUGAAGUAUAUGGGCUGACGCCUGCCCGGUGCUGGAAGGUUAAGAGGAGAGGUUAGCUUCGGCGAAGCUUUGAAUUCAAGCCCCAGUAAACGGCGGCCGUAACUAUAACGGUCCUAAGGUAGCGAAAUUCCUUGUCGGGUAAGUUCCGACCCGCACGAAAGGCGUAAUGAUUUGGGCACUGUCUCAACAACACACCCGGUGAAAUUGAAGUACCAGUGAAGAUGCUGGUUACCUGCGCCAGGACGGAAAGACCCCAUGGAGCUUUACUCUAGCUUGAUACUGGGAUUCGGUACGAUAUGUACAGGAUAGGUGGGAGACUGAGAAGCAGGUCCGUCAGGAUCUGUGGAGCCGCUGUUGGGAUACCACCCUUAUCGUACUGGGUUUCUAACCCAUAGCUGUUAUCCAGCGUGGGGACAAUGUCUGGUGGGGAGUUUGACUGGGGCGGUCGCCUCCGAAAGGG